GGGGUCGAGGCACGUUUGGAAGCUGUGCCACAUUAUGUAGCACAGCACACGCCAGCACGAUUUUGCUCACCUUUUCAGGAGUAGACAAUCUUGGAGCCAAAGACGGAGAUUACAAGCGAGAGUAACGGCAAUCUUGCAGCUCAAGGCGGAGGUCACGGUAAUGUGGGCAUACCCACGAUCUGACCACUGGUGGGACACAAUUGUUGCGGAUUUCACCCCGUUACAAUUCAUGCAGAAUUUCCGCGUAUCCCCAGGAUCAUUUGAGUACAUCGGCUGUCAGGUCAAGCAUGCCAUGGGGAGAAGAAACACAAACUACAGUUUGUGUGUCCCAAUCCGAAAGCGUGUGGCUAUUGCCAUCUGGAAACUGGCCACAGGUGUUGAAUACAGGACAAUUAGCCAUCUUUUUGGAGUAGGCCUCAGCACUGUAUUUAGUUGUGUUCAGGAAUUCUGCAACACAGUCAUCACAGUGCUCCUUCCCAUCAACAUAAGAUUUCCUGAUGCUAAAAAGUUGCUGGAAAUGGCCACUUUCUUUAAUAAUCGUUGGAGAAUUCCGGUGUGUGGGUGCAAUUGAUGGCAGCCACAUUCCAGUAAUUGCACCAGAGGACUAUCCACGAGACUAUUUCAAUCGUAAAGGCUGGCAUUCUAUUGUUCUGCAAGCAGUUGUGGAUGGCAAAGGUCUAUUCUGGGAUGUUUGUGUUGGCUAUCCAGGGAGUGUGCAUGACGCCAGAGUGCUACGACAGUCACAUUUGUGGGAGGCCUUAAGUGACGGGGAAUUACUAGGGCAAAACAAAGUGACUAUCUCUGGCUGUGAUGUUGGACAUUACCUGAUCGGUGAUCCGGCAUAUCCCAUGCAGAAUUGGCUCAUGAAGCCCUUUUGUGACACUGGCAGACUGACCCCCGAACAGCACACAUACAAUUACAGGCUGAGCAGUGCACGAUCGGUUGUGGAGAUGUCUUUUGGGAGAUUAAAAGGACGAUGGAGGUGCCUCCUAAAAAGACUGCAAGCUGGAGCUGAGCAAGAGGAUGGCACUGACCUGCUGUGUCCUCCAUAACAUUUGUGAGGAACAUGGUGAUAAUUUCAGUGAAGAGCACCCAGACAGGACUCUAAACAUAAAGCCUACUGCUCAUCAGGGCUGCAUUAAUGAUGCAUUUUAACAGAGGGAACGAGUGAUUCUUUGAAUACACCAAAGCUAUAUUUGUUGCAAUAUUUUUGUAACCCUGCAGUUUGUGUUUAUUGAAAUCUACACUUUUGAAUUGUAUUACAUUCUCAUCCAUUAAAUGAACUAUGUAAUCUCUAAAA
This is a non-coding RNA of Gasterosteus aculeatus aculeatus (three-spined stickleback), 1300 nucleotides long. The record is from RefSeq and is a predicted model, not a curated record. NCBI's taxonomy places the organism in Eukaryota, Metazoa, Chordata, Actinopteri, Perciformes, Gasterosteidae.